UUUUGUCCUCAAACUCUGGAGACGUUAUCCUUGCCAGGCAUCAUGGCAGAGCUGGAUGUGGAGACAGGAGCUCGCCCGGGCCUCCAGGAUGGGAAGUGAUUUGCUCCAUGGGCUGCCAAUGUGACACCAUGACAGCUGAUACUCUGUGUCCCUUCUGGAAGAGGAACUUGACAGAGGUCUGAUUAUACCUGGCAAUAAGACACCAUGGAUAAACACUUGGUGAAUCAACGAAGGAGGAAUGAAUGUGGCUUGGUGGUGCCCAGAACUUCCAUUACGUCUUCCUGAUAGCCUCAGCGCACUGAAUUUCUAAGAGGAGAGGGGCCGAGAACAGCAGAGAGGGAAGUUAUGGACCAGGUCCUUUGAGCACCCCUAAGAGCUGAAAAGGUCACUGGACAGGAAUGGUGGCAUUUGCUGCCUCUGCACAUGGCGGUAACUGGAUCAGCAGAGAGCCCCUCGCCAUCCUCCUACAAGGCCUGCGCCACCCUGAAAUAGCCCAAAUGUAUGUAUGGCAUCCUCUGGAACAGAACAACCCCACAUUUAAACAUUCCUGGUAUCCUGUUUAUGCUUGGUAGUUAUCAACAAGGCAGGUGGGAGCCAUAGACUCAUUCCUGUGAGGGCCCCCGGAUCAACAGCACACAUAUCUUCCGAGGCUGGGGGCUGAGGUCAGUACCCACAUAAGCUGCAGCUUGAUGGAUGGUCUUCAUGCAGCUGAUGCUUGCAAUCAUAAACUG
Peromyscus maniculatus bairdii (prairie deer mouse) is the source of this 731-nucleotide non-coding RNA. The record is from RefSeq and is a predicted model, not a curated record. NCBI's taxonomy places the organism in Eukaryota, Metazoa, Chordata, Mammalia, Rodentia, Cricetidae.